CAGAAACUGGUGCAAGAGGCCAUGAUCUGCUUACUAAGUGAAGCUGGAUGAGGCUAACUUGAGUGCGGUACUUCAGGAUGUACAGCAGCAGCAUGCUGGUGUUUUAAGUGGUAGCAUUACACCUUUCCUGGAUAGUGCAGCAGUUACCUGUUAAGUGUAUCUGCUCCUGUGCUGGGCUGUUUUUUGGGACUGUAAGGAGGGGAUUGUUGAGAGAAGAUGCUCUUCUCCAGCUGCAGUGUGGUGCUUUCUCCUGAUGUAGUGCUAUGUGAGCUCUUAGUCCUUGUGCAAGAGGGUUUUUUUGUUGUGUUUUUUUUUGUUGUGUGUUGAGAGGAUGAGUGAAGCUCUUCCACGUGUGCUGGAGUUGAUCGUUGAGAUUCAACAUGCUUCUUUUAGCCAGGGAAAAGGAAUGCAAUAGCAAAGUUAAAUGAAGUGAACUCAUUGUGAAAUACUGCUAUUGAAGUGCCACAGGGUGGCCAUCUGUCUGCUGUUCUGUACUGCUAAAGCUAUUUUUUUUUUUUUUUUAACAACACUUUGUCAUCAAAGCCUGCAGUUUCUUCCUGAGCUCUCGGACAGCACAGGGCAGGAUUGGGAGCAGAACAACCCCCUUUCCUUUCAGCCAACCCCUAGCAGAGAAUAUCUACAUCCUUUUCUGGUAAUUCCUACAAAGAGCUGAAACUCUCAUUAUCCUCUUCCUAAAGGUCAUUCCUGAGAUUCUACCUAAGUACAAAUACAGCCUUCUGUUGGCUUUCUCCACAGGUGAUAGCCUUCCAAUUUACAGGUUACUUCUUCAAACUGGUGAGGUCAGGAGCAUUAAGUACACUUAAGAAAGGUAAAAAGAAAAAAACAACUGGCUGGACAUUGUGGAGGGGUUACUAAGUACACAGUUGUGUUUACUUAAGGAUAAAGCACAAAAGAUCAGGAGUCAUUGGAAUUAACAGCAGGAUUCCUACAAGCAUUGUUUUUUGUUUAGUUUGUCUUUCACAUGCACUCUGCCCAUCAGAGCUUUUGCAAAAUCAAACAGACAAAAAAAGCCACCGAAGAGAGUGAGCUGUCUCUGUUACUGUCUGAGGCCCUGCAGAUGCCACUUUCCCUCUUGGGUGAAGUUUUGUUCCUCUGCAUCUGACAGCUCCUCAAACCUUCCUUUGCCACUUGCCUUUGUCUUGUUGCUGUAGUUCUCCCUUCCUCUUCAUUUAUUCCACAUUCCCAAGUAGGAAACACUUCCUUCUUGCUCAAGCAAACAUGCCAUCCGAGGAAAAUCCCAAAGCAGCAGCAGCAGCUGAAUGUAAUGACUCAUGAUGGAUGUAAUGGCUCAUGAUCAUUUCUGGUCUGGCAUGGAUGGAUCCCAGUCCUGUCAGUCUCUGAUGGGUACACAAAUGGAGGCAUGGAGGCAUUUGAUAAGAAAAAAGUUUUCAUAGCGAUUCAUGUUCCCAGACUGGUUUCAUGAAGAGCAAUAGAGCUGCUGGACCUUCCAACUGAGUCUGACUGAGACAUGGUCGCUAAAAGAACUGACCUGUCCUUCACCCAGAAUCUGGCGGCAAAUUUGUCUCCCAUCUGCACUGUGGUGUGUGUUGUAGUACGGUUGUGGAAGUUGCACUUAAAUGUUGAGAGAUCUGUGAGUGUAGUUACGUGACUAAGCAUAAUCUGCUUUCGGGGAGAAAAGCUAUUAAGCUGCAGAAAUCUUAUUAGCAGUCCUGAAUGGUAGACCUUGGUAUUAGAAUUUAAAUUGCAAUCUUGGUGUGUUUCAGUUCAUCAGAGUUAUUCAAGGCAUGUUUGUGAGAAUUAUGCCUACACGGUAAGAAUGCAUAGUGAUAUUUAGUUUAAUAUACUAAUUAAUUAUGUCUGGAUGUGUUUACCACUCUGACUGUACCAUCACAUUUCCACCACCGUUCUGAAUUAACCUAGUCUUUCCCCUCAGAUCCUGCUGCCUUUUUCAUUUUCUUUUCCCUGGGAUGUUGUCUCUUUGUAAUUACUUUAUCAGCAUUUAAACAGAGUGUUUCCUCUCAGAAUAACGAGCAGAGGAAGGCACCGGGCAGUUUGUCCCCAUUUUGCUAACAGAGCAUCUGAAGCUGCCUUGGGCUGCUUCUUCCCACUGCCAGGUCAACUCUUUCUCCAUCCCAGGGUACCGCUCCCAAAUGAUAAGCUGCAGAGUUACAUAGAAUCUUUUUAGCAGGGUGUCCUUUGGUCACUGCAUUCCUCUUGAAUAAGGUUUUUCUCCUCGAAAUAAGAAUAACUAUAAAAUAAAUAAAAAAGCAACCAUUUGGCAGUUGAGCAUUGUUCUCUCCAUUGUGGUGCUGUAUAGUCCCAGAGUAAUUUGUAUUGCUGGACAUGAGCUGGUAUUCUGUUUAAGAUAUGAGGAGUGAAGUGAUCUUUCUCUGUUUUAGUAACCAUAAACAACUUGUUUCUUCCACUUUGUGAGGUUUUAAUUUUGGAUGAAGAGUUACUGCAUAAUUCUUCUAGGAAUACUUGUACUCGCUACUUCAAAAAAUAUCAGAAAGCACGCGGAGGUGAUGGGUUUGUGUGCUGGUGGUUGGACUAGAUGAUCGUAGUGGUGGUCUUUUCCAUCCUUAAUGAUUCUGUGAUUCAGUGAAAACGUAGCAUAUUGUGAAACUGUGAUCCUGUUCACCUUGCUAUCAGUGAAUGUAUUUGCAGGAACGCAUUCACAGGGGAUGCAGAGAACACAGUUCCAGGGACUUUGCUUAAAAAAUCUCAACAUUCAAAGUGACUUUGUUACUUAUAUAUGUUUUCCUGAUAGUUGGGAAAGUGGCAGGGGAGGAAGACUCCUGCAAAGGAAACGCAGCCCAGGAGAUUAGAUCAUGUUGCUUUUUCCGAAGCUGCGCAGCAGAUUUUUCUGCGUAAGGCUUUGAAUAAAUUAUUUACUUUUUAGAUGCUUUUAUUGUUGCAUUCAUGAUUUAAAAGAGCACGGCUCUGCUGGUGCGUUGUUUGUCACCUAAAACACCCUGCUCCUGAUGGUGCCUCUCUCUCUGCCUGGUGAGUGCCUUGGCACGCUACGGCGGGGCUCAGCAGUUUGGUUUGGAUAAGCAUCAGAGAGCUUGUGUCCUCCUCAGGAUUUCUAGAAAUGAUAUGGGUAGCCUUGUGAGAGAAAAAAGCUCUCACGUGCUUUCUGGUAUUUGGCAGUUUGAGCUGUGUCACUGAUUCUGGGAGAGUGUUCUUGAGAUACCAGAGACACCUUUCCAAAAUAUCCCCUGGAGUUUGGCAACAUCUGUACACAGCACAGUGUGAGAUCUUGCAAUUUCCACUUUAUUUGGAAUGGGAUGUUCUGGUGAUACAUUUAAUCAUAGAAUCACCAAGGUUGGAAAAUACCUCCAAGAUCAUCCAGUCCAACUGUCCACCUAUCAUCUCACUGGCAGAUAGUUUUCUCUUACUGACUUCCCCCUUACUGUAUAACUCCUGUUUCUCUUAUUAUAUAGAUUACUUACUUAUAGAAUACUUAUAGAAUACUCAUUCUGUGUGGUUUAAGACCAGAUGCUUGCUGUGUCUGUCUACAGUGCACAUCACAACAAAAAUAAUCCAUACCCUCCAUAUGGAAAUAGCGUGCAGUGUAUACCCUACAGUGCAUAUGCUAUACACCCGUAGUGUACUGUAACCUGACAGUGAAUAGUAACCACUUGAUUGAAUUUCUAAACUUUGCCAGAGCACAUGAGAGAAUUUAAUUUUCAUCAAAAGAAUAUAUUUUACCAUUGAAUGAUGUAUACUUCAUGAGAAGGACGGUGAUUGCCUGAAGGAUAGAUGCUGCCUCUCCAAUGUUAGCCAGCAUCCGCUGAGUGUGUGGCUGCUUUGCUUAAUUCUUUGCUGGUGCCGGAUUGUUAUGUACUGUAAUGAAUUAAUUAUCAUAGACUCAUAGAACUAUUAAUGUUGGAAAAGACCACUAUUAUAAAAGCUUUCUUUUCUGGUAAGAAAAACCAGUUGUUUGAAAUAGCUUUUUCACGAUUAAGAAUUAUUUACUUUGUACGGUUAGUGAUAUUUCUGAAGGAACGAAUAGUUUGUAGAUACUUCAGGGAUAUGUUUUAAAUCAUUAGGCAUUGAAAUUGCUAUUAAUGACCUAUGGAUGUCUCAGUGUUUUUUAUGCAGCCUAGAACAGCCCAAGGAACAUGGAGCCAGCAUUUGUCUGUACAGGUGGGCCCAAAAGCACGCAUGCAGGCAUGCUGCCAUGUCAGUAACCUGGCACAAAAAGCUGACACAAGUAUGCCCAUGUGGACAGCUCAGGCAAGAACUGGUAUUUCCACAGUGAUUCAUCUAAUCUCUGAAGCCUCUUCUAGGAUAGCCUGGAUGAAUUACCCCGUGGCAGUUCUUCCUCUUUGCCAUAAAAAGAGCAUGUGGUGACUAGUUCAAACCUAAAGGCCCAACUGCUUUUUUAAACUGUACCAUAGAAGCACAUUUGUGGGUUCUUGCAAAUGGGAUAAGGAUCUGGCAGGCAAAACCAGUGCUAUGAGAAGCUGAAGCUCUGCUGGUCACCAUAGCACUGAAAUCACUUACGCCAUCACCAGCCA
RNAcentral lists this long non-coding RNA (4508 nucleotides) under Gallus gallus (chicken). The record is from RNAcentral. Lineage: Eukaryota; Metazoa; Chordata; Aves; Galliformes; Phasianidae.